This 604-nucleotide long non-coding RNA is filed under the name Corvus moneduloides (New Caledonian crow). RNAcentral describes it as "lncRNA (ENSCMUG00000017785.1)". The record is from RNAcentral. Lineage: Eukaryota; Metazoa; Chordata; Aves; Passeriformes; Corvidae.
GGUAAUUGUUGCUUCCUGAUACAGGAUCUGAGGGGUGGAAGCUGCACCUUCCCCACGUUCCCAGCAGGCAGCUGCUGGCUCUGGCACCUCAGCUCAGGUGUCCCAGCGCCUCCUGUUCCUCUGCUCUGCGACACCCCCAGCACAGCUCUCCUGGGGGAGCACUGGCAACCUGCAGGCACCAAAAAGCCCUUGCACACCUCCUAAGAAAUACCCAACUUAGAUGCAAAACUGGUGCUUGCAGCCUUUCCCCUCACACAUCCCUGCUGGAUUUUCCCAAAUGCUUGGGAAGACCCGGUCAGAAGUAACUCACAGCCAGCUGAAGGCACACUGUUUGCUGAGCCAUCUUUCUUUUCUGUCAGUCCAGAUCCACGAGGCUCUAAAUCUGUGGGGCACUGAAAUAAAUCCCGAAGGAAUUAACAUGCCAGUCGGAAAGGGAGUGACCCCAGGUUCCGUGCCGGGGCAGCGUGGAGCAGCAGGAGGGAGCAGCCGUGCCGGGGGGCACACGCAGCGCAUCCGUGGCACCGUGGGACCAGCGCUCGCCUACCGGCAUCGCCGACCACGAGGAUCAGCUCUUCCGCUCCGUGGAGGGCCAGGCUGCCUCUGA